Molecule: ribosomal RNA, 512 nt
Filed under: uncultured Roseobacter sp.
Lineage: Bacteria; Pseudomonadati; Pseudomonadota; Alphaproteobacteria; Rhodobacterales; Roseobacteraceae
Description: bacterial SSU rRNA
Rfam family: Bacterial small subunit ribosomal RNA
Source: RNAcentral
GCGUAAAUGGGCGCAGCCUGAUCUAGCCAUGCCGCGUGAGUGAUGAAGGCCUUAGGGUCGUAAAGCUCUUUCGCCUGUGAUGAUAAUGACAGUAGCAGGUAAAGAAACCCCGGCUAACUCCGUGCCAGCAGCCGCGGUAAUACGGAGGGGGUUAGCGUUGUUCGGAAUUACUGGGCGUAAAGCGCACGUAGGCGGAUUGGAAAGUUGGGGGUGAAAUCCCGGGGCUCAACCCCGGAACUGCCUCCAAAACUAUCAGUCUAGAGUUCGAGAGAGGUGAGUGGAAUUCCAAGUGUAGAGGUGAAAUUCGUAGAUAUUUGGAGGAACACCAGUGGCGAAGGCGGCUCACUGGCUCGAUACUGACGCUGAGGUGCGAAAGUGUGGGGAGCAAACAGGAUUAGAUACCCUGGUAGUCCACACCGUAAACGAUGAAUGCCAGUCGUCGGGCAGUAUACUGUUCGGUGACACACCUAACGGAUUAAGCAUUCCGGCUGGGGAGUACGGUCGCAAGAUUA